AUACGUAGGGAGCGAGCGUUGUCCGGAAUCACUGGGCGUAAAGGGCGCGUAGGCGGCAUUGCAAGUUGCAUGUGAAAUACCAUGGCUCAACCAUGGGGUGUCAUGCAAAACUGUAAAGCUUGAGUGCAGUAGAGGAAAGCGGAAUUCCUGGUGUAGCGGUAAAAUGCGUAGAGAUCAGGAGGAACACCGGUGGCGAAGGCGGCUUUCUGGGCUGUAACUGACGCUGAGGCGCGAAAGCGUGGGGAGCGAACAGGAUUAGAUACCCUGGUAGUCCACGCCGUAAACGAUGAAUAUUAGGUGUAGGCCUUUAAGGUCUGUGCCGGAGCAAACGCAAUAAAUAUUCCGCCUGGGGAGUACGGCCGCAAGGUUGAAACUCAAAUGAAUUGACGGGG
RNAcentral lists this ribosomal RNA (392 nucleotides) under uncultured bacterium. RNAcentral describes it as "partial 16S ribosomal RNA". It matches the Rfam family "Bacterial small subunit ribosomal RNA", at positions 523 to 918 of the family's 1533-position model. The record is from RNAcentral.